AGUGAACGCUGGCGGUAGGCCUAACACAUGCAAGUCGAACGGCAGCACAGUAAGAGCUUGCUCUUACGGGUGGCGAGUGGCGGACGGGUGAGGAAUACAUCGGAAUCUACUUUUUCGUGGGGGAUAACGUAGGGAAACUUACGCUAAUACCGCAUACGACCUACGGGUGAAAGCAGGGGAUCUUCGGACCUUGCGCGAUUGAAUGAGCCGAUGUCGGAUUAGCUAGUUGGCGGGGUAAAGGCCCACCAAGGCGACGAUCCGUAGCUGGUCUGAGAGGAUGAUCAGCCACACUGGAACUGAGACACGGGCCAGACUCCUACGGGAGGCAGCAGUGGGAAUAUUGGACAAUGGGCGCAAGCCUGAUCCAGCCAUACCGCGUGGGUGAAGAAGGCCUUCGGGUUGUAAAGCCCUUUUGUUGGGAAAGAAAAGCAGCAGGUUAAUACCCCGCUGUUCUGACGGUACCCAAAGAAUAAGCACCGGCUAACUUCGUG
This 491-nucleotide ribosomal RNA is filed under the name uncultured bacterium. Its description in RNAcentral is "partial 16S ribosomal RNA". It matches the Rfam family "Bacterial small subunit ribosomal RNA", at positions 29 to 507 of the family's 1533-position model. The record is from RNAcentral.